UGCGGGAGGCAGGUGUUUUCUCGCUCCGGUACCCCGCGGAGAAACGACGAAACCUUGGGAGGUGAAGCCUUGGCGCUGCGAGACCAGCCGGCGUGCGUAACGUUGACGCAUGCGUCGCCAGUCCGGCCUACAGGGCGCGUGCGCAGUGUGACUGUCAGGGUUCCCGGGCUGCUGUCGGCCGGCGUUCGGCGGCGGCGGGACCCGGAGUUGGGCACCGGCUCCUGGUACUGCGAGGGCGGGUCCCGGCAAACUUCCCGGCCACCCGGCGCGCCACCUCCCGCCUCUGCGGCUGGGGGCGCCGCGGACCCAAAGGAGCGACCACCCCGGGAAGCAGCCCCGGGAGCGGAAGUGGAGAAUGGCCCUCUGGAGUGGGGAGAGCGAGUGAAGCUCAGUCUCUCCCGGCAGUGGGGCCCCAGGUGGGCGUGAGCGAAGGAUUUUAGUGAAUGUGGAAAUGCCUCCAUUUUGCCUUCCUCCAGAAAUUUGUCUAAAUAAAGCUUCCACCAGUAGAAAAAAAUGAUCUAAGAGACAGGGUCUCCCCAACGCUGGAGUGUAGUGG
Long non-coding RNA from Lemur catta (Ring-tailed lemur), 556 nucleotides. RefSeq lists it as uncharacterized. NCBI's taxonomy places the organism in Eukaryota, Metazoa, Chordata, Mammalia, Primates, Lemuridae. The record is from RefSeq and is a predicted model, not a curated record. The transcript has 3 exons.